CUACGGGGGGCAGCAGUGGGGAAUAUUGGGCAAUGGGCGCAAGCCUGACCCAGCAACGCCGCGUGAGGGAAGAAGGUUUUCGGAUUGUAAACCUCUGUCCUUGGGGACGAAGAAGUGACGGUACCCAAGGAGGAAGCUCCGGCUAACUACGUGCCAGCAGCCGCGGUAAUACGUAGGGAGCAAGCGUUGUCCGGAAUUACUGGGCGUAAAGGGUGCGUAGGCGGCAUAUUAAGUCAGGUGUGAAAUACUCGGGCUCAACCCGGGGGCUGCAUUUGGAACUGAUAUGCUUGAGUGUGAGAGAUGAAAGUGGAAUUCCUAGUGUAGCGGUGGAAUGCGUAGAUAUUAGGAGGAACACCAGUGGCGAAGGCGACUUUCUGGCUCAUAACUGACGCUGAGGCACGAAAGCGUGGGGAGCAAACAGGAUUAGAUACCCCGGUAGUC
This 441-nucleotide ribosomal RNA is filed under the name uncultured bacterium. RNAcentral describes it as "partial 16S ribosomal RNA". It matches the Rfam family "Bacterial small subunit ribosomal RNA", at positions 339 to 795 of the family's 1533-position model. The record is from RNAcentral.